GCGCGCGAGGGAGCACUCUCCCCUGAGCGCUCUCUGCCCAGCUCUCUCGCGCGCCGCUUAUUGAUGGCUGAGGCAGAAUAUGACGUCAUAUUCCGGCUCCGGCAUCAGUGCGGUGCGUGUGAGGGAACUGGGCAGAGAGCGUUUAGGGGAGCGUGCUCCUUCGCGUGC
Non-coding RNA from Pelobates cultripes (western spadefoot toad), 168 nucleotides. Lineage: Eukaryota; Metazoa; Chordata; Amphibia; Anura; Pelobatidae. The record is from the annotation of a GenBank genome assembly.